CCUACGGGAGGCAGCAGUGAGGAAUAUUGGUCAAUGGACGAGAGUCUGAACCAGCCAAGUAGCGUGAAGGAUGACUGCCCUAUGGGUUGUAAACUUCUUUUAUAAAUGAAUAAAACGAGGCACGUGUGCCUUUUUGCAUGUACUUUAUGAAUAAGGAUCGGCUAACUCCGUGCCAGCAGCCGCGGUAAUACGGAGGAUCCGAGCGUUGUCCUGAUUUAUUGGGUUUAAAGGGAGCGUAGAUGGGUUGUUACGUCAGUUGUGAAAGUUUGCGGCUCAACCGUAAAAUUGCAAUUGAUACUGGCAGUCUUGAGUACAGUUGAGGUAGGCGGAAUUCGAGGUGUAGCGGUGAAAUGCUUAGAUAUCACGAAGAACCCCGAUUGCGAAGGCAGCUUACUAAACUGUGACUGACAUUGAUGCUCGAAAGUGUGGGUAGCAAACAGGAUUAGAUACCCUAGUAGUC
This 460-nucleotide ribosomal RNA is filed under the name uncultured bacterium. Its description in RNAcentral is "partial 16S ribosomal RNA". It matches the Rfam family "Bacterial small subunit ribosomal RNA", at positions 338 to 795 of the family's 1533-position model. The record is from RNAcentral.